CCUAAUCUUGAGGGACCGGCACUACGUACAGAAUUUCCACCCAAUUAACCCUACUGAUCUUUCCUCCACUUACACAAACGAACCCUAUUCUCCAGCCUUCCUCACGUUUCCCUUGUGUUUUCAAACCAGAAUUUACUUUUCUUUUACACCAUGUAAUUUACCAUUCAACCUCACCAAUACCACCACCUAAUACAACUAUACAACAACCAUAAACCUGUACAAACAUUCCAAACCAAUACAAACUUGUUUGACUCAAAACAAACAGAAACCUUUCAUUUGACACCAAUACAUUCACACAACAACUUCAAAUUCGUACCCGGAAAUGACAACGAUAACUAACACAACAACUAUAUUUCAUUUUUUGUUUUUUUUUCCAGAGAAAAAUGAGAAGGAGAACAGAGGAACACGUUCGACGCCAAAUCCGUUCGGCACCCAAACGGAAGCAACACCGACGUUCUCGAUUCGGAUCCGAUCAGGUUCAAGCUUCAUAGCCACCAGCUGGAAUACAACUCACAGCCGACGACGUCACCGCCCUCGUGGUCAACGAUCAUCCAUCAUCAAGAUCCGGCCGCUCUUCCCUCCGAUCCGGCACGGUUCACCACCGGAAAGCCAAGACGUCAACACGUUGGCACCACCGGCCAGCCGCGGAGAUCUCCAACCACCGUCGAACAAGCCCCGUCGAGGAACUGCAUCAUUGUCGACGGUAAAAUGCUACCUAAGAGUAAAGAUAGUGGUAAGAAGAAGUUCCAACGUCCGAGGAUAGUAGUAUGUGACGCGCCUCACUCGGCCGUGUGCCCCCCCCCCCUCAGAGUCAUGUUGAUCCUAUGUCUUUAGCCAGUACUCAAGCUUUUACCCCAUUACUCUCCUCCCACACAUUCUCGUCUGGGGUACCUGCAUCUUUCCUGUACUCAGGAUCCAGUUUGCCUUUCCCAUCGACUCAGAUGCCGUCAUCCUUCCAGCAUACUGGUGUGCCCUCGUCCUUCCAGCAGGCAGGAGGACCUAGCUUUCCAUUCGCACAUACUGGUGUGCCCUCGCCCAACUUUCCAUUCGCCCAUACUGGCCUGCCUUCAUCCUUCCAGCAGACUGGAGGAUCUGGUUUUUCAUAUCCCAUCCAGAUGACUUCAUCCUUCCAGCAGACGGGAGGAUCCAGCAGUACACUUCUGACACAGGCUGGACGAUCUCCUAGUCCACGUCCGACACAGGCUGGACGAUCUCCCCGUCCACGUCCGACACAGGCUGGAGGCUCACGCACCCCACAUCCCACACAUGUACCGGCACGUGAGGUUUAUGAGGCAGUUGAUGAGAUAGAUAGAGCUGAUCUUCGUGGGAGGGAUGAUCCCGAUGAGAUUCAUGUCGUUGACGGUAGAUAUUGGAUUUGGCCCGAAGGAAGCAAUUUUGCGCCGAGUCGGACUGCUGAUAGGACUGUUAAUUAUAUAAUUCAGCAGAUGUAUAAAUCAUCUUUUAAGAGCUAUGGCGAGGUCAAAAAUAAAAAUUAAUGGUUUAAAAUGUUUAAGGGGAAAUGUGUGUGGGAUUCGUUGAAUGAAAAAAUGAUUCAGAAAGUUUUCAAUACCAGAUGCUCUAAAAGAAUGUCUGAUAUGCUGCGGCGAGUAAGGGAGAAUUAUGAGCUUCACGGCAUCCGUCCUAGCUGGAUAGGCGAGGAGGUUUUUCAGGAGCUUGUUACAUAUUAGAGGACUCCAGAAUUUCUGGCUAAAUCAGAAACUUUUAAGAAGAUGAGGGCAUCUGAAAAUGGGGGUUGUGUCAAUACAGUUGGAAGUACUAGUACCGCGGAGCAUGCCCGACGAUUGGCCAAGGAGUUGGGGAGAAAACCAUUGAUGCCUGAGUUGCUUUCGAGGACCUGGACAAGGAGAUCGGGAGGUUUUGUCGACCAUGUCGCUGUAGAGCGUUUUUUUGUAGUGUAGUAAACAAAAACAAUAAAAUAACAUAUUAAAAACAACAUAGCUGAUAAAUUAUUAUUUGAGAUUUUUUAGAAUGUAUAAAAAUAUUUUUAAAUAGUUGUGUCAGUAGUUAUGUUAAUAGCACAACCCAUAUUUUAUUAAAUAUAUAUAUAUUUA
Molecule: long non-coding RNA, 2072 nt
Organism: Vicia villosa (hairy vetch)
Lineage: Eukaryota; Viridiplantae; Streptophyta; Magnoliopsida; Fabales; Fabaceae
Exons: 5
Source: RefSeq, a predicted model, not a curated record